RNAcentral lists this ribosomal RNA (235 nucleotides) under uncultured Actinomycetales bacterium. RNAcentral describes it as "partial 16S ribosomal RNA". It matches the Rfam family "Bacterial small subunit ribosomal RNA", at positions 96 to 334 of the family's 1533-position model. The record is from RNAcentral. Lineage: Bacteria; Bacillati; Actinomycetota; Actinomycetes; Actinomycetales.
UGGCGAACGGGUGAGUAACACGUGGGUGAUCUGCCCUGCACUCUGGGAUAAGCCUGGGAAACUGGGUCUAAUACCGGAUAGGACCAUGCUUUAGUGUGUGUGGUGGAAAGUUUUUUCGGUGUAGGAUGAGCCCGCGGCCUAUCAGCUCGUUGGUGGGGUAAUGGCCUACCAAGGCGGCGACGGGUAGCCGGACUGAGAGGUUGGUCGGCCACAUUGGGACUGAGAUACGGCCCAG